UGAGGGAGAGGGGAUGGCGGCUCCAUGUGUGUGAGGGACUAGGAUGGCUGGGAAGACCCCGUGGACCGAUCAGAAAAGCCCCUCCCCCGGGAGGGCCCAGGAAUUAUGGCGAGGCUCCUGGGGUGUGCCGUGGCCGUGGCCCUCAUCCUCAGUGUGGCUUCCACUGUCUUUCUGUAUCACUGGCAGCAGAAGAACCGGCUGGAGAUGGAUGGGGGCGGGACUGCCCUGCCUCUCUCCCAGGAGCCAGAACCUUCUCCCAGCAGGCAGAGCCACCUUGCACUUAAGAACAUCCAGAUUCUUGGCCUAGAGCUGGAGAAGCAGCAGCUACAGCAGGAAGAGGAUGAACUGCAGAAGCUGCCCCCACAGCCCCCCUACUACGAUCUGGGGGCCUCCCCCUCCUACCACCCCUUGGCCUUUGUCUCCACAGCCUCACCACGCUCCCUCUCGGCUGGAAGGGCCAAAGAGAAUGCAUCUCAAGAUGCCAAACCUUGCCCCUGGGAGGCAGCGUUCCUAUCCCGGGUGCUCAGCCCAGAGGACCAACCCGGCCCCCACCUUCCAAUUCCAUGCAGGGGCCUUCCCUCCCCAGGCUCUGCUCAUGGUGGAUUGACAGAAGGCUCAAAUGAGUUGGAGGCUUCAGGACUCAAGACCACUUGGGAGGAAGAGCAGACAGGUGCCGGCAGUCUCGGAGGACUCCACUCAGCUGUGUCCCUCAGACCAGGGGUUCACUGUGGCGUCAGCAUGUCCAUCCCAGUCCCACACUGGGAAAUUCCAUGUCCCCCAGCAGUGAAUUUGCCCUGUUCUCUGGGGUCCUUGCCAGGCUGUUGAAUCCCACAUCCUGAGAAAGUGCCCCCAGGUCAGUGUGGUCUUGCUUAUUCCCCCAAAUCCCACCCACAAAUGCCCGCCCAGCUUCUGCUAGAAUUCCUAGAGAAUUCCUGCCACUCCUUGCUCCUUGGACGUACUCUCUCCUCCCUCAGCAGGUCCAGCUGGCCCCAGCUGGGUCAUGCUGGGCUUUAAACUUAGCUAUCAGCCUGGUAGCCAGGAAGGCGGGUGGGGGCAGCUCUCGAAGAGUGUGCCUCUCGCCUUGUAGGGUGAGCCUGGGAUGAUGGUAGCUCUUGCUGGCUUAGGCCAGGCACCUCCGUGUGCUCUGAGGGACAUAUCCUCAAGAGCCUUUUUCGUUUGUUUGUUUUGUGUUGGGUUUUUUUUUUUUUAAAUAAGUUUAUUUAUAUAUUUCUUUGGCUGUGCUAGGUCUUCGCCGCUGCACGUGGGCUCUUCUCUAGUGGCGAGGUGGAGGCUUUCAGGGGCUUCUCUUGUUGCAGAGUAACAGGCUCUACAGGCGUGGGCUCAGUAGCUGCAGUUCCCAGGCUCCCUAGUCGCAGCACACAGCCUCAGUUGCUUCACAGCACGUGGGAUCCUCCCAGAUCACACGUGUCUCCUGCUCUGGUGGGCGGAUUCUUUACCACUGAGCCACCAGGGAAGUCCAGAGACCUUGUUUGGCCAAAAAUUUUACUUUCGUUUUAGGUUCGAAGGAUUCAUUAACAACAGAAACCUCUCAUUACACACACAAUAAACAAUUUCAAUUUUAAAUAGAGGAUUUUUAAACUUCAUUUCAAUAUACAUCAUUAAAAGCAAAGAAAUAGAAACAACAGAGAGAAGGAACGGCACAUACUUCACCAAAUUGGGCUGACAACCCACAUCCAGACUUGAACAGCGCUGGGAAGUCCCAUGUAACAGCAAUCUGGAGUCCCGACUGGCAAAAGGCCCCAGGCAGCGUGUUCACCCCAUGGGUGAGACUUCAAAUUGCAGCUUUGGGGGCCACCACUUAUAAUCUCAGGCCACAAACGGACAUCAGCAUCAGUUUGCACACAAAAAUGCAGUUCUGGUUUUCCAUUAACUUUUAGAAUGCUAUUGGUUUUCACCUUGUGAGUCACAGGAUUUUCCAGACCCCAGGGGGCUGGCCAGGCCUACAGGGGCUCAGCAAAUUCCAAGACCCUCUCC
This 1995-nucleotide long non-coding RNA is filed under the name Bos grunniens (domestic yak). RNAcentral describes it as "lncRNA (ENSBGRG00000014036.1)". Lineage: Eukaryota; Metazoa; Chordata; Mammalia; Artiodactyla; Bovidae. The record is from RNAcentral.